This 496-nucleotide ribosomal RNA is filed under the name uncultured bacterium. Its description in RNAcentral is "partial 16S ribosomal RNA". It matches the Rfam family "Bacterial small subunit ribosomal RNA", at positions 29 to 507 of the family's 1533-position model. The record is from RNAcentral.
AUGAACGCUGGCGGCGUGCCUAAUACAUGCAAGUCGAGCGAACGGACGAGAAGCUUGCUUCUCUGAUGUUAGCGGCGGACGGGUGAGUAACACGUGGAUAACCUACCUAUAAGACUGGGAUAACUUCGGGAAACCGGAGCUAAUACCGGAUAAUAUUUUGAACCGCAUGGUUCAAAAGUGAAAGACGGUCUUGCUGUCACUUAUAGAUGGAUCCGCGCUGCAUUAGCUAGUUGGUAAGGUAACGGCUUACCAAGGCAACGAUGCAUAGCCGACCUGGGAGGGUGAUCGGCCACACUGGAACUGAGACACGGUCCAGACUCCUACGGGAGGCAGCAGUAGGGAAUCUUCCGCAAUGGGCGAAAGCCUGACGGAGCAACGCCGCGUGAGUGAUGAAGGUCUUCGGAUCGUAAAACUCUGUUAUUAGGGAAGAACAUAUGUGUAAGUAACUGUGCACAUCUUGACGGUACCUAAUCAGAAAGCCACGGCUAACUACGUG